CUUUGACAGCUUUAAAGGAAUUUGCACAAAGGAAGGAGACAGCUGCUGUUCUGAUGAAGGAUUUUUCUGAGCAGGCCUCCCAAGCUAGACGUGCCCCUUUGAGAUGCUGCCUCCACUUUUCAUCACGAGCAACAGGUGACUAAUCUGCAAUCAAAAACACUUAGCAGGAAUGGAUCAGUUGCUGUUAUGAAGUUUUGAGCUUAUAGCAUUUUUUCAUGCUGGAAUGUUAGGGCUGAGAAUGUGUUGGACACAGCGCAAUUGAGGACUUCCAGACACAGUGAAAUCCUUGCAAGAGGCAUCAGAGAGUGGACUGCCAGAGUUUUAGAAGCCCAACAGCUGUUAGCCUGCUGCAGCAUGAGGAAGAGUCUUCGGUCUCUCCAAUGCACAGGAAAGAGAAGACGAAUUGUAGUAAAUGUCCGCCUUCGAUACUGAGAAAAAGGCCACCCGUGAACCAAGCUGUGAGUGAAAAGCGAAAAGCAGAGAGAAGGGUUCGAUUUUGUGAGCCAGAGAUCACUGGAUAUGCACAUGACAGGCCAUCAGCUGGAUUGCCCUUGCUCCUGUGGAUUUCGCUUUGUUUAGUGCUGAUCCUGGCUGUGAGUCUGUACUACAACAGCGUGAAGCAGAAUUUCAAAGUCUUGGAAGAAUUUCAAUCCCAGCUCAUUAUCUUCCUUCUUCAGAUAAGACACGUUGCUUUGAAAUGCUGGACUUGGUUUAUGAGGCAAUAAAGGUGUCACACGUGUGGAAUUGUGCAUGGCCCAAGACAAAGAUCUUAGCAGAUAACAUCUAAAUGUAUAUUGCAGCACAAGGCUCACAGCCCACUCAACCCAAACACCAGAGAAUGCGCCAGCCUUCCCUUUGAA
Gopherus evgoodei (Goodes thornscrub tortoise) is the source of this 860-nucleotide long non-coding RNA. RefSeq lists it as uncharacterized. The transcript has 5 exons. Lineage: Eukaryota; Metazoa; Chordata; Testudines; Testudinidae. The record is from RefSeq and is a predicted model, not a curated record.